RNAcentral lists this long non-coding RNA (1067 nucleotides) under Marmota monax (woodchuck). The record is from RNAcentral. Lineage: Eukaryota; Metazoa; Chordata; Mammalia; Rodentia; Sciuridae.
GCAAAAGAGCAUAGCCACUGUGGAGGUCAGUUUAACAGUAAGCAAUACUCUAAUCAUAAGAUCCAGCUAUCAUUCUUCAUGGUUUUUACUUAAAGGAGUUGAAAACUUAUGUCCACACAAAAAACUGAACACAGAUAUUUACAGCUGUUUUAUUCAUAAAUACCAAUACCUUGGAAGCAACCAAGAUGACCUUCAGUUGGCCCAUGGCUAAAUAAACUGUGGUACAUCUAGACAAUGGGAUAUUAUCCAACACUAAAAAGAAAUGAACUAUCAAACCAUAAAAAAAUGGAGAAAAGUUAAAUGAAUUAACUAAGUGAAAUAAGCCAAUCUGAAAAGACUAAACACUGCAUGAUUCUAACUGUAUGACAUUUUGUAAAAAGAGAAGUAGGAAGACAUAAAAAAAAUCAGUGCUUGCUAGAAGCCUAAAGAAGAAGGAAUAAAUAGGCAGAGCACAGAGUAUUCUUAAGACAAUGAGGUACUCUGUAUGGUACUAUAUGGUGAUACAUGUUUUCUAGUAAACCCUAAUGUAAACUAUGGAAUUUGGGUAAUAAUAAUAUAUCAACACUGAUUCCUAAGUUUUAAUAUUUAUAGCACUCUGGUAGUGGAAGUUAUGCAUGUGUGGAGGCAGAAGGUAAAUGGGAAAUCUUUGUCAUAAUUCUGCUGUUGACCUAACACUGCUCUAAAAAAUAAAGUCUAUUUAAAAAGAAGUUAUAAAAUACCAAGGUAAUUAAUAAUUUUCUGGUCCUGAGAGGCAGCUUCUAAUUUGAUUAAAUGAAGGGAAGGAGCAAAACAUGUUUACGUAUUUUUAAAGAGGUCAGAUCUUAGUCCUUAUCUCUCACAACUCCUGUUGUCACACAACUUAAGGCAAAUGCUUUCUGAUAGUCACUUACAUUGCCAACGAUGUACUUCGUUAGGUGAAGAAACUCACAUAUAGAUGCUUUACAUUUUUUAAUUACUCAUAUAAGAUUUUUCUUGGUAACAGUUGUGCCCCACUAUGAGUAAUAAGAUUGUGUCACAUCCCAUAUAGAAUCUAUAUUAUUAGCAAGGUGGCAUAUGAUGUCACAUCC